CGUGGGUCGGUCGGACUCCCGCUGGCAUCCUCCGACGAAGGUCCGGUCGAAUCACUACACCCCCCAUCACUUUUUUCAUUGGAAGGAGAAGAAAGGAUAGUUUUAUACAUGACAACAAAAAUGAUGAAGAGAAGAAAUUUAAAGCAAGACUUUGGAUGUAAAUAAAGAGAGGAAAUUACCUUAGAAGAGAGGAAAUCUAGGAAGUUGAGAGAAAAUGAAAGUGAUUUUCUAGAAUGAGAAUUACCCCCCCU
Molecule: long non-coding RNA, 251 nt
Filed under: Olea europaea (common olive)
Lineage: Eukaryota; Viridiplantae; Streptophyta; Magnoliopsida; Lamiales; Oleaceae
Description: long non-coding RNA (OEUR_LNC010583)
Source: RNAcentral